RNAcentral lists this long non-coding RNA (2540 nucleotides) under Mus musculus (house mouse). RNAcentral's name for it is "predicted gene, 34471". The record is from RNAcentral. Lineage: Eukaryota; Metazoa; Chordata; Mammalia; Rodentia; Muridae.
AGAGUCCAUCUGGCCGAGCUGUGGUGCACCACUGAAUUGCACAUCCGUCCCCUGUGUUCAUUCUGAGUCAGGGAAAACAUAUGAAGAAUUUAGCCAGGCCUUGGCUGCCCCAAGAGGAAAUAUGGGGAUCUCUUGCUGUUCUGGGAUGAGCCGAUCUAAUAGCUUUCUGGUAGAAGUCUUUCCAGGGCCCUUCAAGUGACAUUGUGCUGGUUUUUAUCGCUCAGUCUCAGAUGUCCUCGCUCCCGAGACAGUCACAUUGGAAUGUGGAGAGAGGCUGUACAAUUCAGUCCAUAGUAUGAGUUGGCUGGACGGUUUAUACCACUAAUGAGCCCUUUAAAUAACUGCAGCAUGGAGGGACCCUGAGACCCAGACUCUGACCUUGGUCAUUGCUUCACAGACACCAUAUCCAGAGAACUUGACUCUAACCUGGACUUCCGUUCAUUGCGGUGACCUGGGGGAAUCUAAACCAAGGCCUAGGUUACACACCCUUGUUUCCAGCUAUGUCUGGUGGCCAGCUGGGCAACAAGAGUCACCCAGAAGGCAUGAAGAAUUCUUGGCUCAAACUUAGAUGGAGGAUAAAGGCCAACAUCUGAGGGAGAUGGAGUAUAAUUCUUGGGCAUUGGUCCUUUUUCCCCAAGACACCCUCGAACACAUGCCAUCCACUGUGGAGAUGAGGGAGCAAAUACUUCACGGAGGCUUGUUUUCCCAUGAGCCAGGCACGAUAAAUGGAUCCAGCAGAAGUGAACGAAACAGAAACCCAGGCUACAGUUCUGUAUAUCCUGGAGCACCCAGAACGAUGCAGACCCUUCAAGUUUCUUAGUUUACUACUUUGGGGGAUAUUUUGAAGAGAUUUUUUUUUCUUCAUAACCUCAAGGCCAAUGUUUCAGCGUUGAACUGCAAAUGUAUUCUGCUGUGGCCAGAGAUUCAUGGAUAUUUCAGCUACUUCUUAGGCUGUUCAAUUUCCUGUUUCAUUGAUCAGAGAGACCAUCCUUGUCCACACAGGAACUGCAAGGUUUUUGUAGUAAUAGGAUCUAACAAUCUAAAGCAGGUAGAAGAGUUCCUCUUGAUCUUCUUCUGGGAAGUCCCCCUGUCAGGAGGUAAGCAGAAGACAAAACCACUGUCCGAAUUGGAUUCCUACACCUUAUGACCCAUUUAUGGUUGUACAAAGCUAGAGGUCCUGAAGUCGGCUUUACAGAAAGUAGGGACGUGGCUAUAAUUGGGCUCUAGCCCCAAGGGCAUUUAGCUUGAGUUUUACGUGAAUACAGCCCUGGGUUCUGUUGCCUAACUAUAAACAAACAAAUGAAUCAAUAGCAGCCAUGUAUUAGCCAUUGAAUCCGAGGUGAAUUUCAUGUGCAGUAUGGAAGGGACAUGUGCCGGUGUCUUCUUCUGGACACCGUGUCAUCUUUAUGUUUGCUGUGGAAUUAUGACAUUGGAAAAUUGGUGCCUCCCUUAAGGUCUUCCAAGGGAAAGGAACUCAUGAGCACUUUGCUAAGGGACUGCCUGUCAACUUGGACUCAUCAUGGUUUCUUGCCUUCUCUCUACCUGUUUUCUGUUUAGACAUCACUGCCUUCGUCUGGCUGUCACCAACAUGUAGCCUGGCCUAUAACAGUGGCUGUACCUGGGUCUCUAAUCCCUCCUCCAAUCAGUUGCUUCUGGGAAAAUGAAAGCAUAUGUCUGAACAUGUUCUUUUCCUGCAGGUGCCCAUGCUGGGCUCUGUCCAGUCUUCUUGCUCAGGGAGCCACACACUCCUUCAGAGUGACAGCAAGAUACCUCACAAAUUGCAGCCUAAGCUAAGCAUUUAACAGCUAAUAGUUCUGUGGGGAGACAAGAGAUAAGUGGUGUUGACCAGACAGAGCUAGCUCAGAGGGUGUUACAAAGAGAGAGCUAGCUCAGAGGAGGUUGCAAAGAACGUGUUCACAACCCUCCCACCCUCAUUCUCUCUCUUCCACGAUAGUCCUUUGCCCCUUUGCCUCGCCCUGUUUUCUCUUUGCUCUGAUGGCUAUCUAUCUACUUAGGUGGAUGAGUAGAUGGGGUUUAUGUCUGCUCCUGAGUUGGUCACUUGCUGCUGUACCCUGAGUUGAUUUCCUCAGCACAUCUGGGAACAUCUGCCUACGCUGAAGACUUUCUGAGCUUGGAGGAGCAUUCAGUCUAUAGUGUCCAACAUAGCUCCUGGGGCUUAGCCAUUGCUUCUUCAAUGGUGGUGGUUUGCUUGAGCACAUUUUCAUAUUCUACUACUCUCAAAAACUCACUUAAAAGUUUUGGUUUUUUUUUUUUUUGCCACCCCAAACCCAGACUUGCAUAUUGGCUCUUGGAAAAGUUUGUUCAGUUAGUACCUUGAGGCCCUUGUCUCUCAGGAAGCCAUCAUAUGUAUUUGUGGCUAUAAAUUCCUACCUUCCUAUCCUGCAACAGACUUUACAAGGUGGUGAGCAAGAGGUUCUUUAGAUGUGUAUUUAAAAGUCAAAUUAAAAUUCCAGCUUCCAUAUUUCCAUUUUCUUGGAUUUUGAUGCUGUUUGUGUAGAGAAUAAAAAAGAAUGUAAAGA